ACGUGUAAUUCUGCCAUUUGUCUUGCCCACCCAGCAACUGUUAUUACUCCAUACCUAUUACUAAUUAUCCCAAAUACUAAUGGUAUGUACUUACAUAAAUCACUUAAAGUAUCAUUGGUUGCUAUUAUCUUUCCUUUCAAACAUUUAUGUUCCCCAACUCCUCUUAGUACUGGGUAUUGAGGAGUAGUUGCAAGCAAUUUUUUAAAGGACCAGAUAUAAGGAAGUUGAGCUCGGACAAAUGCAGUGUGCAUUUAAUGCUAUAUAUCUCUAAGGUUGACAUUCACUUCCCUGUGUAGUUAAGUAGCCUUCCCGUAGGAAUGAUCCCUAUAUGAACUAGUCAACUCACCUGGAGUCUUGAAAAGUAGGUGCAGGAUAAGAGGCUGAUGGAUGACGUGGAUAUGAUACCUGUACCAUGAGCACGGAGGUGAUAGAGAAGAAACAAAGGUAAAGUAACAGAGAGCCUCAUCUGUGAACAGUUGUCAGCAAAAUGUUUGGAUGUCAUAAACACCCAGUGCAAAGACUGUAUCUGAUAAUACAAAGUGCACAGCUGCAGAUACGUCACACAGUCUUUUUGAUAGCAGUGACACAACAUAGGAUUACUUUGCAAAUCAGAAUCCAAGCAGCACUCUUGAGUAGCAUUUUUUCAUGUGUGUGCAUGUGCACAUUCUCAUAUGGGCGUGCCUCUAUGGCACUCACUUGACUUCAUCUCCACAACACUGGGAUUACAGAAGCUCACACUAUGCUCAGCUUUUUACAUGGAUUCUAAAGGUCAAACUCCGGGCCCCUGCUUGCAAGGCCAGCACUUUACCAACUAUGCUGUCUCCCUCUUUAACCCCUGCAGGAAGCAUUCCAAUCUGUGGGUAGAUUCAAUGUUUUAUGCGACCAAAUCACCAAUAAUAAUUUUAAAAGUUGAUCAAGCACAUGAGUAGGAAUACUGAAUUAUAUCCCUAUUCUUUCUGUAAUAAUUGUGUAUUCAAAUUUUAUGAAAAGGCUGUGAAGGCAUGCAGACAAAAUUUGAGCAGAGACAUAGCAGGUGCUUAAUUCAAAUGCUGUAUUCCUUGACUUAGGAAUAUUGGUAUUAUCUUUUAGUAGCAUUCCUUGUAUAAUGCUUUGUGAUUCCUUUUUAAAUUUUAAAUAAAUGUUUGCACUUUUGCCUGAAUUUAUGACUUUUUCUUCAAGGUCCUCCCCCCUUUCUCAAUUACAUGUGUUACAAGCCCCAUGGAAGCUGCCUAUACAUUCUCACCUCUGAGUUUACAGGACUGUUCUGCCAUGGUCCUCAGGACUCUGUACCACUCAGUACUCAGACUGAAGAAGAGAUUCCUGACCCAUUCUGUAGCUCAGUGGGGAAAGUCUUUGCUGUACUGUGAAGACUUGAAUUUGAAUCUCCAGCACCCACAUAAAAUCCAGUAGCCUUAAUGGCCUGCCCAAAAUUCCAGUGGAGCUAGAGAAUCUCCAGAGAAAACAGGUUAGGCAGACUAGUCAAGUGGUAAGCACCAGGUUCAGCAUGAGACCCUACCUUAGUAUGCAGAAUGGAGAGUAAUCCAGUAAGAUAUACCAUGCCAAACCAACCUGGGCCUUUGCAUGGACACACUCAUGUGCAUCCAUAUACAUUUAAACAUACAUAUGUCAACACAGAAAACAUACCAAAAAACCCAACUAAAUGAAAACUCAAUAACAAAACAAUGGGUACCUGGGUUAAAGAAAUGGGGAGAAUUGAAAGUUGGAGCUUGGUGGUAAAGCACUUGCCUAACACGUGUAAGCUCUCAGGUUCAAUAUCCAGCACUACAGGAAAAAAACAAAACAAAAAAACAAAAAAACCCAAACCAAACCAAAUAAAAACAAAAUGAACCAAACAACAACUACCCCAAACAAUCCAAACAUCUGAAAAACCACUUCACCAAAGAAGGUAUAUAGAUGACGUGGCAUAUGAAAAGACAUUGUCUUAGUCAGGGUUUUUAUUCUUGCACAAACAUCACAACCAAGAAGCAGCUGGGGAGGAAAGGGUUUAUUCAGCUUACAUUUCUACAUUGCUGUUCAUCACUGAAAGAACUCAGGACUGGAACUCAAGCAGGUCAGGGAGCAGGAGCUGAUGCAGAGGCCAUGGAGGGAUGUUCUUGACUGGCUUGCUUCCCCUGCCUUGCUCAGCCUGCUCUCUUAUAGAACCCAAGACUGCCAGCCCAGAGAUGGUCCCACCCACAAGGGACCUUUCCCCCUUGAUCACUAAUUGAGAAAAUGCCUUACAGUUGGAUCUCAUGGAGGCAUUUCCUCAACUGAAGCUCCGUUCUCUGUGAUAACUCCAGCUGUGUCAAGUUGACACAAAACUAGCCAGUACAGACAUGAAACAUACCACUCAGGAGCUGGCAAUGAAAACAAAAAGCCAUAUAUUGAGCUCCAUGAAAAACUCUGGUUCCUUGAGAUCUGGAGUUGUUAGUAAUUGGUUCUAAUGCUUUGAAUUAAUCAGGCCCCCAAAUAGGGAAUCUGCUUGUCCAAGGCUGAAGGUCCUUGUCCCCAGUUGGUUUUUGAUCAGUCAAUAAAGAGCCAACAGUCAAUGACUGGGCAGGUAGAUUAAGGCAGGACCUUGAGAUUUGCACAUGCUAGGAGUGGGGAGAGAGGAAGGAGAGAAGAAUCGCCUUAUUUCCGAGGGAGAUGGAUCAGAUUUAGAGCUGCAGAAGGAAAAUGAUCCAAAAUGUAGGUGAGAAGGAAUGUGGUCCCUGGAAGGGCUGCCCAGAAGCGUCUUGGGCAGCAAAGACUAGGGAGCCACCCAGAAGGAACCAGGGCAACAAAGACAAAAUACAGAAUUAAAGGGCAUUAAGCCAGGAUUACAGGAGGGAAAUGUGUGCUAGCAGGGGGGUGAGCCUUUGAGCUAGUCAUGGCAUGUCAAAAGUUAACUAGUGUGUGUGUGUGUGUGUGUGUGUGUGUGUGUGUGUUUCAUUCACAGAUCCACAUGGCUCCUGGGCAGGUGUGUGUGUAUGACCCAUCGGGGGCACAAAGCUGUGUAGCAAAACUCACCGCUACAUUGAGUUUCUGGAUUGGUGACUCUAUCUACCUGGGAGGUUGGCACACUAAUUCCCAGGACAGAAGAUCAUGUACCCACUAUCCUUCCUGACUUGUCUUAUGUACUUCUUCAUCUGGGGGCUCAUUUGCAUAACUUACUGUGAACCUGUAAAUGUAAGUGACACAUAUAUGUGUGAAACAUUCUAACAAUGUGUAAACCUGAGGAGGGCACACUUGGAGCCACAGUUUACAUUUGGAAACAGCCAGUCAUUUGGAAAGAUAGUAUGGGUACUGAUAUUUAGACUUGACCUGUGGGAUUGAGCCAUUAUAUUGUGGAAUCCAGUGCUAACUUAAAGGAGUAUUAGUGCCAGAAUCAAAUUGCUGGACACCCACUUAUAUCUUCAGGGUACCAAAGAAUUUCUUAUACAUUUGACUCCAGAAAGACAUGUGCGCAAUAAAAGUUUUAGGGACAUAAUUACAGGCAUCUGAGAAACCAGGGUGAUUGUCUGAGUAAUAAUUUAAAAUUAUCUUGAGUAGAAACCAGAGUACUUUAAAUAAUCUUCCAACAAUGCCUAUCUCUUAAGGCUCUGAACCUUUCCCCUACCUACUGGUUAAUUGGGGCUGUCAGUAAGAGUGACUAAAUGAACAGAAGGCCAAAAAUCCUCCUAAGAACAGAGACUUUGAGUGAUAAACAUUGUCAAGCUCUUGCUUCUUCAUAUAAGAAAUGAGUCAUAUUCAAAACAGUUGUAUGCCAGAUGCAAGACAGCACACAAAGCAGUUGACAGCUAUUGGGAUGGACUACUGCAUCAUGCCUUGUCACUUGUUUAUAUUUUUGUUGUUAGAAUGCAAUGACUCCCAUGGGCCCGUC
This 3862-nucleotide long non-coding RNA is filed under the name Mus musculus (house mouse). Its description in RNAcentral is "long non-coding RNA chr12:118328429-118332291". Lineage: Eukaryota; Metazoa; Chordata; Mammalia; Rodentia; Muridae. The record is from RNAcentral.